This 492-nucleotide ribosomal RNA is filed under the name uncultured bacterium. Its description in RNAcentral is "partial 16S ribosomal RNA". It matches the Rfam family "Bacterial small subunit ribosomal RNA", at positions 29 to 507 of the family's 1533-position model. The record is from RNAcentral.
AGUGAACGCUGGCGGUAGGCCUAACACAUGCAAGUCGAACGGCAGCACAGUAAGAGCUUGCUCUUACGGGUGGCGAGUGGCGGACGGGUGAGGAAUACAUCGGAAUCUACUUUUUCGUGGGGGAUAACGUAGGGAAACUUACGCUAAUACCGCAUACGACCUACGGGUGAAAGCAGGGGAUCUUCGGACCUUGCGCGAUUGAAUGAGCCGAUGUCGGAUUAGCUAGUUGGCGGGGUAAAGGCCCACCAAGGCGACGAUCCGUAGCUGGUCUGAGAGGAUGAUCGGCCACACUGGAACUGAGACACGCACCAGACUCCUACGGGAGGCAGCAGUGGGGAAUAUUGGGCAACGGGCGCAAGCCUGAUCCAGCCAUACCGCGUGGGUGAAGAAGGCCUUCGGGUUGUAAAGCCCUUUUGUUGGGAAAGAACAGCAGCAGGUUAAUACCCCGCUGUUCUGACGGUACCCAAAGAAGAAGCACCGGCUAACUUCGUG